Molecule: ribosomal RNA, 1008 nt
Filed under: Triticum aestivum (bread wheat)
Lineage: Eukaryota; Viridiplantae; Streptophyta; Magnoliopsida; Poales; Poaceae
Description: partial small subunit ribosomal RNA
Source: RNAcentral
AUGCAGGUUAAACAAGAUAUUAAGAGAAUCUUUCCAGCUCCAGACAUUGACAGUUCUUUCGUCCAUUUAGGCCAUCCACUUGUUUUACCUUCUAAAGAUAGAUCAGCUGCUUAUAACUUUGUUUACGAUAAAUUCAAGUCCAAACUUAGCACAUAUAAAGCCAACAGACUCUCUCAUGCGGCAAGAUUAACUCUCAUAAAAUCCGUUUUCUCUUCCAUUCCUGUAUAUUACAUGUCCAACAUACUUUUUUCAAAAAAGUUCCUUGCUAAACUAACAACAAUCAUUAGGAACUUUUGGUGGACAGGUAUUCAAGAUGAUCAGACUACUAGAAGCUUGUGCCUUAGGGCAUGGGCUGAUGUAUGUAUUGAGAAGAAAAUUGGUGGUCUUGGUGUUAGAAAUUUGCAGGCAAUCAACCAAGGACUUGUUCUCUCGACGACAUGGAGAUUGGCAAAAGAGCCGCAAAGUCAGCUAGCAUUGAUUCUCAAGGCAAAGUAUCAUCAUGAUACAUCCAUUUGGAGAGCCCGGCCGAACAAACCUAAAUCUGCCUUUUGGUCUGCAAUUCUAAAGGUAAAGCCUCUUCUAAUCUCAGCCACAAUUUGCCAAAUUGUUGAUGGUGCUAGUUCUAUUUGGAGCUCUCCUUGGUUUUCCGGAUGGGAAACUAUUUAUGAUCAUUUUAUCAUUCAGCAGCAAUCUUUUUCUUACCCUGCACAAGUUAAAGAUCUUUGGAUACCGGGUCAAAAGAACUGGAAUGCAAACUUGAUUAAUUCUCUUUUCACUCCUGAAUUGGCUAAUACCAUUCUACAAACUCCUAUUAUUAAGGCAAAUGGUAAGGAUAUGUUGGUUUGGAAACUAACUCCUGCGGGUGAAUUCUCUUCCAAAAGUGCUUACAAGCACUGCUUCAACAAUCUUCAGCUUCCACCAAGGCAAAGGCCCAAAAUUGUCCCUAUGCAGGUCAUUUCCCUUCUUAAUCAGGUGUGUGAGGAUAAGCAAAUGGCACCAAGAGUUUAG